GCCCUCUUCAAUACCUUCAUUUUGGCGGUGGUUUCACUUCGAUUGACCUCCUGAAACUGAAAUGGUUCACAUAUCAAGAUCUGGUCAGAUCUGGCUUUGUCGAAUUAAACCAGGAGCUUGGAAACGAAUUUUGGAGUGAAACAAGUUGGGGGGUACUUAGCUUGUUCCAUGGUGGUACCUAGAGAGGCAAUUGCUAAGUCGUGGCACUCUCAUACCUUUACUAGGUGCGAACAAUUCCGGAGAAGAAGAAGAAGUGGAAUUGGACAAGGAUUUUAUUUAUAUUGUUGGGAUUCUUAUAUUGAUAGAGUUGAAGAAGUACAGGGACAAAUAAGCCAAG
Long non-coding RNA from Lolium perenne, 337 nucleotides. RefSeq lists it as uncharacterized. NCBI's taxonomy places the organism in Eukaryota, Viridiplantae, Streptophyta, Magnoliopsida, Poales, Poaceae. The record is from RefSeq and is a predicted model, not a curated record.